Long non-coding RNA from Lynx canadensis (Canada lynx), 5066 nucleotides. RefSeq lists it as uncharacterized. Lineage: Eukaryota; Metazoa; Chordata; Mammalia; Carnivora; Felidae. The transcript is spliced from 2 exons. The record is from RefSeq and is a predicted model, not a curated record.
AGUAAAAUUGUCAUAGAGUGCCACAACACCUGCUUCGGGACUUGAGAAAUUGACUUUUCCUGCAAAUUACCCUGAUCAGUGACCUUGUCUUGGCUACCAAAGGGUUCGGAGAAGGAGGGAAGCUGUACGUGUGGCCAUGCCCCAGCCCAUGAUUGGUAUUUAGUGCUUUGAAGUUCACAGUUAUCUCUUUAAUGUACAGACAUAUUCCGAAACAAAUACCACACUACAGUCGUCAACAGGAAAACCCAACUGUCGCCUCUUAAAGAAAUAACAUUUGAUCUCUCCUGCGGUAUAGACUGCGGUAUAAUUCAAAAGCUCCCAAUUACGAUUUUCUUGAAGAAGGGGACGUUCGGUAGAUUUGCCUUUUUGUCGCGAGCGACUAUCUCAGGCAGGUCUCCGGGUGAGUCAUCACGCACCAGUGAUACGACAGAAGAUAGAAAUGUUCAGUCAGCACUCAGAGCCUGGGUCUUUCAAAAGUGCUUCUUGGGGAAGAAAAUGCGCGAUCGGCGCCUCCUGCCACACAGACAUUGGAUGAGAUCAAAGGUCAUCCCUGGAAGCUCAAGAGGACCUCGGAGGGACCAGGAAGGGGCGUGCAGGGCCACGCACCCACAGACGGAAAGGCGACCGACGUCACGUCUGUCCCUACCAGGAACACCACUCUCCCCACACCUGUCCCCACAUCGGUGGGUACUGUCUCAUUUCCUCACCAAGCGGCCAACUGGUUCCGCACCCCGGUCCCAGCUCCUGGGCCCCCGCCCUCCACUGGCCGGUAGCUAAUGAAGGCAAAAGUUGUGAAUCUCCUCUAGAAUGUCAUUUUCUCACAGAGGCAUGCAAACAGUGUCAAAGUUCCGAAGAGUGCAUCUCUCUAGGUAGAAUUCCAGUAGGUAUGCCCUUAUAUUUUUUAAAUAUAAAUGUUAACUUUGUACAUCACUUUCCAAGUACUGGAUGAGGCUUACUGUAGGACACCCACAACAGACCUUUAAGAAUCAAAGGCAAAAGAGUAAGAACUUACGGUGGUCGGGAGCUGGGGAGGGAAUGUGGGAAGGGAUGCGACUCCUCCCUUGCCGGGGCCACGUGGUCGGUGUAGCUAAGCGUUCCACUGAACCCCACCCUUCCCAGUAAAUGGAACAACUUAUUUGGGAAGGAGACCUACUCCCUCGAUUCCCAAACACAUAGCCAUUGUCUCCCGGCAGAGGUGGCGUGGAGAGUUUUAAUAAGGCAGGAGGCAGGGUGAAAUCGAUAGCUUGCACCUCCGAGUUUAGGCUCGAGCCCUGCUCGGUGUCGGCAGAUGGUGCUGGAGAAACAGGAUUCCCCUGGAAUCUGUCUGUUUUCGGAGCCGUGCUCUCUGCCAUGAGGCCGGACAGGAAAGUGCUGUAGACACACACGGGCAGCUUGUGUGGACGGGGGACAAGGUCUCACCCGAAAUAGAACGAGGACAGCAGAUUCCUCCCUGGAGAGAGUGUCUGUGUGUGUGUGUGUGUGUGUGUGUGUGUGUGCGUGUGCGUGCGCCGCACUCCUCUUCAGCGUGUUUUUUUUCUGUGAUUAAAACAAGAGGUGAUUUCAAUUCUGAAAACGACCCGAGCCCCCACUGUGAACCUGGCCGUGGCCCUGGGUGAAAGCCACGGUCACCAUGGCGGUGCUGUCUUCUCCCCUGCAGACAUCCAGGACAAAGAAGACACACAACUUAGGAAGGUGAGAUGCCUUUUAAAAUUUAGACAAAAUCUUAGAGGGUUUAUUUCCUUGAUCUCUAGACCUACAUCCAUUAACCCACAGUCGAAGACAAUCAGUGCUACUGUCUGGGAAGGCAGCUCAAAUGGGUCGAAACUGCCAUUGUAUAUCCAGGAAAGAUAGAGACACAGCACAGGUUUUUUUUUUGUGUGUGUUUUUUUUUUUUUUAAUGCCCGUUUCCAGGGAACCAGCUACUGCUGAAUGCAGCCUGAUAGAAAUUCAAGAUAAAACUCUCAUGGAUUCGGCUGAACCAUAAAGUGCCACUUAACAGACGAUUUGCACAGUCUAUGAACUGCUUGGAUUUGCUGAACUUCUUUUUUCACCAUUCUAAACUCCAUCUCAUCAAACUAGUAUUUUUUAACUCUACAGAGCAGCAUUUAAAAUGAUAAAUUUCAGGGAGGAGGGAAGAGAGAAGGCGUUUCAUGAAUAACUGGGACCAGACAACAGCCGGGGAGACGUCUGACUUUCUUAUGAAGAAUCCAAACCCUGAACCGUGACUUAUCCUGGGUCUGUCUGAUCCUCCUCGUUCUCCUAGGACCUCUCACUACUCUGAUACCCUUGCAAAUUUCCUGGUUGCUUUUCCAGGCCUCAUUGUGAAUAUCCACCGUCCUUCAACAGGACUCUCUGUCUCUUUGAACACUUAUGAUAUACAUGGACUUUACUUUCUGGCUCUUGUCUAUCAAAAAAAAAAAAAAAGAUUUAUCUUUCAGGGGUUGUUUUCUUAUCUUCUGUUGCUUAAACAAUCAUCUUCUGUAUUGUUGAGAAAAACCCAAAGCUGUCAGCUUUCCUGGACUCAGCUCUCUAGCAAACUCACCCCCCCCCCAACUCCCAUCUGCUUAUAAUUUAAUGCUCUGUAUGUUUUAAUCAUUUCAUUAGGCAUGUCUUUAUUUUGAAAUGCAACUAAUUCCUCAGUUCAAACAAACAGCCAGUAACUCUAAAAUGAGACCAUUCUUUUCUUUUGGUUAGAGGCUGGCUUAGAAGCAAUAUCACACCUAUUUUGAGAUGGUUUGAAAAGACUCAAAUGCUCAUUUUUAAAAAAUCAUUGCUUCUUAAAAGUGGAGAGAAUCUCAGAGAUUCUUUUAGUAUCUCCACAGGUGUGGAGCUAACUUUUGAAGGAGUCGUCUCACAUCCUCCUGAACACUUUGUGAUGAAGCCAGUAUUAUUAUUAAAGCCCGUCAGCAAACAGACCAAAAAAAAAAAAAAAAUUAUGCCUUGAGAUAUCUCAUUCCUAUACUUGGUGACAAAGGACACAAGAGAGAACUGACCCCACUGUACAGCUUGUAUAUUUUAUUAAUGUAUUUUCUUUACAGGAGUUUACAAUUUAUUAAGGCAAGGGGGAUUAUGUUUUGCUAGCAGGGGGAAGUGAAUUUACAAAGUGCUUCGUAUGUUUUUGUUUUUGUUUUUGUUUUCUGUCCCUGACAUGCAGAUUUAUUCAACAUCAUCAAGAUGUUGAAUCAAUCCAUCAAGAAAUGGAGUUGCCGGAAUUCCGGCAUAUAUUUCCCUUUAAAUAUAAUUCAUAUUAUAAUUUCAUAUUAUAUCAAUGGCCCAACUGUACAACAUGGAAUUGGUGUCUUUCUUUGCUGAUACUCGUAUUAAUAUCUGGCAAUAAAAUGUUCUUUCAACAUUUCAGAAGCGCAAGUAACAUUUUGCAUCCAACAGGCAUUUAAUAAACGUGUGUUGAAGCAUUGGGAGAUAAAUGGGUAGGAUACACAUCGACAUUUAACAUUUAUGUCUUAAUUCAGCUGUGAGUGCCAAUGUUUAUUAACGUUGCUGUAUAACAAAUACAACCGUGUGCUUUCUGAUAUAGUCUCUUCCGGUGGGGAUUUCUUCUACUUCCAAAACAGAAGUCAGAACCAUUUAAAUUUCUACAUAAAGGUUGAAAUGAUAAUAAGAAUCCAGGAGUGAAGUUGUCUUAGAGGAGUUGUUUUAGGACACGUUGGCGAGUUAUUGACAGAUGGGAAGCCAAGUGUGGCUGAUACAAAUGGUUGUCAGACGCCAUCUAGUGGCGAUAUGUGAAACUGUGCUCAUUCCAUAGGAAAGGCUUUUGGAGCAAGCUCGUCGGCUCUAAAUUUCAGCGCCUAUCGGGCCACCAAUGUACAUCUGUCCAUCUUUAAGGCUUUCAGCUAAGGGGAAACACUGAAGAAAGCAUGCCAAAUUAUCUUCCAAGAUCUCUGUGUCCUUGGGGAUAACUAAGAAGUAACUAGUGGGGGAAACUGUUUCUUUCUGGAUGCUGACAAGCAAAAGCGGAAAGCAAUUUGGAGAAAACUUUGCCUGCAACAAACGUGGUGUAAACCAAGGUGAGUAGCAUGACAUUCCCCGCUACAUUUUCCCCACGGGACCUUUCACUGCGUACAGAAAUCCAUGAUCUGGCCAUGACUUCUACAACCCACAGGACUUGCUUACCACUGCCGAAUUUGCACGGGGCGGGGGGAGAGUCUGUGGCAGGUGCCUAGUUUUAUCCAGCAUUUGAUGCUACUUCAUAAGACGUCUUAAUUCUUACACAUGUGCACAAUCGCGACGUUUUGCACUGGGUUACAAUGUCACAUUUCACAGUUACCAACAAUCUGAUAUUCAACGGUCUAAGGUAGGUCUGUUACAGUAAAAGAGGUAAGAAAUCCAAGUCAGUAGUGGAAAAUAAAUGUCUCCAGCUUGCAGUUUGCAUUGUCAAUUAGUCUAAAGUACAGUGAACACUUUGAGUUCUUCUUCCAGUAUAUCCACGUUAAAUGUCCCCAAGACAAGUCAGAGUGAGACAAUAAGUCAUUUAGGUGUAAAUUGUGCAAAAAAAAAAAAAAUUAACUAAAUAAGCAGUGUAUGUGUAUAGUGGAAUGGUUGGCAGAGAAUUCAAUAUUUGAGAGUAAAAUCAAGACAAAGUGUUUAGGAAUCUCCCAGAGCAAGUAAUUUUGCUUGUCUAGAUUUCCACCUUAGCAAGUUUACAGGGCUUGAAAAACGCUGCUUUCAGAGCAAUGUGAACGGCUUUUUAAGACCAUCAAAUACAAAAUGAUUUAGUCUAUCAGUUCCAAAAUUGAAAAUACUACAGGAUCAUUUCCCCUGCAUGUUAAGGUCAAUUUCCACCAUAAAUACAUGCUUUCGGUGUACAAGGCUCAGCCUAAAAUGUAUUUGCAUUUGCCUUUUGAACUAUCGUCCUGAUCUCUACGUUGUGAUAAAGCUUCAGCCACAGCUCAAACAUUUAUUUUCACUUUGUCAAGGGGCUAUUUAUUUUAAGGGAAACAUUGAAUGAUUUAAGGUACGUAUCAUUUGUUUUUAGAAAAGACUGUGAACGAGGAGCAACCUGAAAAACCGGAUUGUUACACAGAUGAAGUCACCAAUCAAAAAAAAAA